ACUCAAUAGAUACCCAGGUAGUCCUGGCCCUAAACGAUGUCCACUAGAUCAUGGGACCUUGACGGGUCUCAUGGUCGAAAGACAAAGUGCUAAGUCGGACCGCCGUAGGGAAGUACGGUCGACAAGGACUAAAACUACAAAGGAAUUGGACGGGGCUCACACAAGCGGUGGAGCAUGUUAGGUUUAAUUCGAAGCAACGCGCAGAACCCUUACCUGGGCUUGACAUGCCAGGAUUAUCCUUAUGAAAGUAGGGUACAGCCCGCAAGGGCCGGAACUGGUACAGGUGCUGCAUGGCUGUCGUCAGCUCGUGUCGUGAGAUGUCGGGUUAAGUCCCUUAACGAGCGAAACCUUUGCCCUUAGUUACCAUCGGGUCAUGCCGGGGACUCUAAGGGGACUGCCGGUGUCAAACCGGAGGAAGGUGGAGAUGACGUCAAGUCCUCAUGGCCUUUAUGCCCAGGGCCACACACGUGCUACAAUGGGAUGCACAGAGCG
This 492-nucleotide ribosomal RNA is filed under the name uncultured bacterium. RNAcentral describes it as "bacterial SSU rRNA". It matches the Rfam family "Bacterial small subunit ribosomal RNA", at positions 772 to 1246 of the family's 1533-position model. The record is from RNAcentral.